UGGGGAAUAUUGGGCAAUGGAGGAAACUCUUACCCAGCUAUGCCGCGUGAGUGAAUAGAAGGUCUUCGGAUUGUAAAGCUCCUUGAUUAGGGAAGAUAUAGACGUGUACCUAAAGAACAAGCCCCGGCUAACUAUGUGCCAGCAGCCGCGGUAAUACAUAGGGGGCAAGCGUUGUCCGGAAUGACUGGGCGUAAAGGGUGCGUAGGUGGUUUUUCAAGUUGGAAGUGUAAUACCCAGAGCUCAACUCGGGUGCUGCUUCCAAAACUGAAAAACUUGAGUGUCGGAGAGGAAAGUGGAAUUCCUAGUGUAGCGGUGGAAUGCGUAGAUAUUAGGAGGAACACCAGUGGCGAAAGCGGCUUUCUGGACGAUAACUGACACUGAGGCACGAAAGCGUGGGGAGCAAACA
RNAcentral lists this ribosomal RNA (406 nucleotides) under uncultured Bacillota bacterium. RNAcentral describes it as "bacterial SSU rRNA". It matches the Rfam family "Bacterial small subunit ribosomal RNA", at positions 355 to 774 of the family's 1533-position model. The record is from RNAcentral. Lineage: Bacteria; Bacillati; Bacillota.